RNAcentral lists this ribosomal RNA (467 nucleotides) under uncultured bacterium. RNAcentral describes it as "partial 16S ribosomal RNA". It matches the Rfam family "Bacterial small subunit ribosomal RNA", at positions 28 to 507 of the family's 1533-position model. The record is from RNAcentral.
GACGAACGCUGGCGGCGUGCUUAACACAUGCAAGUCGAACGGAAAGGCCUCUUUCGGGGGGUACUCGAGUGGCGAACGGGUGAGUAACACGUGAGUAACCUGCCCUUGACUUUGGGAUAACUUCAGGAAACAGGGGCUAAUACCGGAUAGGAGCUCUUGUGGCAUGGUGGGGGUUGGAAAGUUUCGGCGGGUGGGGAUGGACUCGCGGCUUAUCAGCUUUUUUGUGGGGUAGUGGCUUACCAAGGCUUUGACGGGUAGCCGGCCUGGGAGGGUGACCGGCCACAUUGGGACUGAGAUACGGCCCAGACUCCUACGGGAGGCAGCAGUGGGGAAUAUUGCACCAUGGGUGGAAGCCUGAUGCAGCAACGCCGUGUGCGGGAUGACGGCCUUCGGGUUGGAAACCGCUUUCGCUCAUGACGAAGCUUUGUGUGACGGUAGUGGGUAAAGAAGCACCGGCUAACUACGUG